UGCCUUUGGCCUGGGGUUCGCCCUUCUGCUCACACCCAGGAAUCUGGUCCUGGCUAAGCCCAGCAACAGAACACGUGGUUCUGGGCAGAGAGGAAAGUCAAGACACAAGUGUCUCAGACUGAAAAAGAUCGGGUUUAUGAAAGUAUCAUUCACAUGCAAUAACAGCUGCCAAUUUAAAUGUACAAUUUGACCAGGCGACAAAUGUACACAGUUGGGCGAUGACCGCCUUUAUCACGAAAUAAAACACUUCCAGGAAGGUCUCUCAUGCUGCUUCGCACCCGGUCCUUCCCCACCUGCAGGUAACGACGGACCCGCCUCCUGUGGCUACCACUUCGGUGUGCCCGUUGCGGAUGCCACUCCGACAGAGUCCCGCGCCCCGUGCGCUCUUGCGGAUCUGCCCCUUUGGCUCGGCAUGACGAUGACGAGACUGCAUGAGCCUGUGCGUGCCUAUGCUUGGCUCCUUUUAUCGCGAACCCACCCUAGAUGGUUGGUCCAUUCACGAGUCGAUGGCCACUGGGCGUGUUCCGGUCCCUGCUACUAUGAACUCUCGUGUUUGAGCCUUUUCGUGGGCAAAUCUUGUCCUUGCUUUGAGGGCAUGUCGUAGCAGUAUAUUUAAGUUUGUAAGACACUGCCAAAUUAUUCCAGAAUGGUAGCGCGAUGUCACGUGCUCCUCCCCUCGUCCCACGUCAGCGUAUGAGAAUUCCAGAUGAUCUGUAUCCCGGCCAACACUUGGGAGGCCCCACCUCUGAAAUGCAGCGCUGUAGUGGGUGUGAAGUGGCGUCUCGCUGUGCUUUCAAUUAGCGUCCCCAGGAUCACUGCGUUUCAUAUGCUGGUUGGCCGGGCAGAGAGCUCCAUCUGGGGAGCGGAAGCUCGCGGCCUUUGGCCAUGUCCGUAUGGGGUUGCGCAUCUCAAGACUGAGUUGCCAGCGUCCCUUAUACAUUCCGAAUAAAAAUCCUCGGGCAGAGACGUGCGUUGCAAAUAUUCUCUCGGUCUAAGAUUUGCCUCUUCAGUUUUCUUCACUGUGGUUUUGGAAAAGCCGGAUCCUUCCAUUUGGGCGGAGUCCGUUUAUCGAUUUUUUUUUUUUUUUUACUUUUGUGGUUAAUGCUUUUUGUGUCCUUGUGAUGACUUCAUGGGCCCAUGAGUCAUCUUGCAGUUAGUUGUCUCUGACUGCUUAUUUCUCUGCUGUGGGUCAUUUUCCUGUUUUUUUUUUUUUCUUUUUUCACUGAACCUCGUGAGGGAUACAUUCUAGUCUCUUUCAUCCCUCUGGAGAGUCGAGAGUUUUGUCCUAGCAGGUAGCUCCAUUUCCUCUCUGCCCUGAACUACUGGGUCACUGAGGCUCUGCGCCCCGGCUGGAGCACGUCCCCUGACACCACUCAGCCUCUGGAGUCACAUCGCGGCCCCUCGCUGGCGCCCUGCCUCACAGCUUCCAGAACCAUCAGCGCCCUGAGCUCUGUCAGCUGCCUCCUCCACUCAGUGCGACCACCGUGCUUUCCGAGGACAUGCUCGCUGAGCCAUGGCGGGAACCGUCCUAGGGGAUCUUGCUGUUCUUCUCCCGAGCCUCCCUUCACCCACUACAUGGUCACGCACAGCUGGCCAUACAGCGCCGGGCGCGAGGUGCCUCGUACCUGUCGUCCAGGUGCGUGGCUGUCCGUCAGGGGUGGGUCGGUCUAGCACCAGAUUUGUCGACAGAAGUGGAAGCAGAAGUCACCCAGAGCUCUUUAGUAGACCUGAGGUCUGUCUAGAACCACGAGCUCAGGGCAGACAGCCCCAAACAGGUGAGCCGCUCCUUCCACCAGGUACACGAGCGAGGAGCUGGGAUGACCGGCCAGGACGCGAUGCCAGGGGAGCUCCAGGCAAGACUGUGGGUCCCCAAGCUGCAGAAGAGCCAAGCACAGUGCCUGGCACACGGUGGAGCGUGAUGGCGGUGUCCCCUGACCUGCGAGACCAUCUGCAGCUCCCUGUCUGUGUCCUGCCCAGGGCCUGUUGCUCUCGUGGUGUUUAAGGAAACGUCUGUCUUCCCUCUUCUCUCCCUGGAGAGGCGCAGACCGCCCAGCACCCUCGCAGGGCUCCCCCGCUAGCCUCAACCCCUCCCAGAAGCAUUCAUUUCCAGCCCUGGCUGCGAGGGGCUCCCAGCGACGGUGCACCCACCCCUCCCCCGUCACGGGGACAUCUGUGCACAGUCCUCUCCUGACCGAUGUGCCGUGGGACAAAGAGGCACCACCCAAGAGGAAGGCAUGACCUGGCCGAUCACCCCUCCUCAGGAAAAGAGACAGAGACCCCGACUGGAACAAAGCCAAGGUCAGCUCCUGACCUUGACACCGACUGCUCUGCUCCAAACAGCUCACAUUUCCAUGGCUCCACAUGGCCCUUUUAUUAUUGGAGGUACACCACAGCAUCAUUCAUUCAUUCAUUCAUUCGUGUUGGGGCAAACAUGACCUGAGUUCUCCCAGCCCGCCCCCUGCCUCUCCCGAAGGGGGGUUGGUUUCACCCGCUGUGUUCCUUCCCCUCUCGCCCACCCCCAAGGAGGAGGUGGCUGCCCUUGCUGCUUGGAGCCUUGGACCUUCUAGGAUGCAGACUCAGGAUGGAAAAAAGCUUUGGAGACAGAAGGGGUGGGUGGGGACUGUGGGAUGGUUUCAGGGAGGGGCCACGGGAGAAAGUACACCGAUGCAGCUCUGUGGGCCUUUCCUGGGGUUCAGAGGUGCAAAGAAACUAGAACUAUUCUGAAGUUAGUUACGAGUCUCUGGACUGGGACCGACACUGCUGGCUCCCUGACCCAAUCGCACUCCCAAACCUUCCUGACCCUCUGCCUCCAGGGACAGACUGGCUAAUCGCCCUUCUUCCCAGCAUGUUUAGCCAUGGGAUGGCCAUGCGACCUAUUUCCACCACUGAGACACAAGCAGAAGUCUGUGGGAACUUCUGGGGGAAGAUUUUAUGUUUUUAACUUUCUUGAUUAAAAAAAAAAAAAA
This is a long non-coding RNA of Pteropus alecto (black flying fox), 2966 nucleotides long. RefSeq lists it as uncharacterized. Lineage: Eukaryota; Metazoa; Chordata; Mammalia; Chiroptera; Pteropodidae. The record is from RefSeq and is a predicted model, not a curated record. The transcript is spliced from 2 exons.